CCCCUCUUUUUUUAAAAGUUUAAUGCAAAAAAUAAUUCAAUCUCCUUGUAGUCAACAAUGUACCAGCUGGACAAGUAGUAGUAUUUUGUAAAACAAUCAGCAAAUUGAUGUCCUGAAAAUUGCAGCCAUUUAUAUAUGUUUACUGAGAUUCAAACUAUAAAUUAAAAUCUGGUCACAUGCAGACAAUUUAAUGCCACCGGGGAAUCAAUAGUGUACAAUUCAGAUGAGGUAAGGACUAAGGACUAUCAGAAUUUUAUAUUGCAGAUGAGAAAUGGCAAUUAUGAUCAAAUAACUCACAUCAGGAAACUCAUUUUGACAAACUCAAAGAUAGAAAAUACUAACAACUGGGCAUUUGGUCUAGUGGUAUGAUUCUCGCUUUGGGUGCGAGAGGUCCCGAGUUCGAUUCUCGGAAUGCCCCAACUAAUAUCAACUUUUUUACAUGCAAAAUUAAGCAGGCCAUAAAUGGCUAACCUAGCUCAAUUGACUAGAGAUAUAAGAAAACACACUUCAUAGUUUCUUUUCUGCGGUCUCGGAGUUAUCAUACAAAUGCUAUAAUUUACCCUCCACCUUAAUUUCAACUAGCACACAACCUCACCUUGUCAUCUUGGAUGACUUAGUGUUAACCUUAUUGCAAGAUUGUCUACAGGGAACAUAAACAGUGGGUACUUAGUCUAGUCGUAUGAUUCAUCGGUGCAAGAUUCUUAGUAUUUUGUAAAAAGAAUCAGCAUUGAGAUUGAUGUUCUGAAAAUUGCAGCAAGUUCAUCAGUCAUUUAUAGAACUAAGAUUAAAAAAAAAUAGAAUUCACACUUGGUCACAUGCUGACAAUUUAAUGCCACAGGGGAAUCAAUAUACUGUAAAUUAAAAAAAAGACCAUUUGUACAGUCUAAAACUAACUUUCUUUUGUCAAUGCAUGUACCAAACCUUACCUAAUGCUUGACUUCAAGAGCUCUUCAUUGUUUCCAUUUUUGUAAGCUGAUCUCCAGUCAACUACAAAACUCAAUCGACUGUCUUCAUAAAACAAAAUUUGCAGGUAAAGAUUCUUUUAAUUCAUGUUAAUGGAUAAACCCAAUGGCAUGAGCACUUGAAGCUGAAUAAGAGUAAAUCUAGAUCUAUAAGCUAAAAAUUAAAAUAAUACAUCAUGAAUACUUGCAAUGGUGCAGAGUUGGGCUUGCCUGUUCAGUUUAAAGAUCUGAAACUCCAACGUUCAACAUCUAACUCCCAAAAGAUCCCUAAAUAUAAAAUGUUGGACAGAUAAGUUCUCGAGUAUCUCAAAUAUCACAAGCCAUCAUUUCAGAUAUGCUUUUUUGCCAUCCAUUCUCAAUUUGACAAAGCAGGCAAAACUUAAUGAAGUUGGUACAUGGAUUUGUCGUAACAUCAAAGAAUCAUUAUAGAUACAAGGUCAUUUACAGGUCAAGGAAGUUUACAAUAACAACUGAUAUCAUUAAUCAAGGAAGCUCUCUGAAUUUCAAGUCAAAAUAAGGAAUGAAACGGAUAUCCACAGUUCAUGAGCCAUUUUCAUUUCACUUGAGUGAAACAAAGAAGCAUGAACUUCAUUGUACCAUGUUGCUUUGCACCCAAAAUCGCAUAACAUGAGCUGCACCAUUCCAUGAAACAAGUGAUAAUGAUAUAGCUUAACAAAGAAGGUAUCCAAAAGAGAACUGGAAGUAAGAGAACCCAGAAAAAAGCACAUGGUUAACUAUCAAUGGGAUAAUCCUUAGUGGAGAUUUUAUUUGCUUCAGCUGUAACUAGAACGAUGAAGCUCAAACAUGAAAUAUUAAUUCAGCUAACGCCGGAGACCUGGCCUCAUGUCCAAUGACAGUUCUUAAUCACUACACAGAUCUCACGUGUUUUGGAUUCCAGAUGACCAAAGGGUUGAGUAUGAUAGCAUAGGAUUGUAAAUAUACAAGUGACAGUAACAACCAAAGCUGAUAGCAUCUAUAGGCAUCGAGAAAAGUAAUUUGAGGAACUGCAGAGGCAUAUUAUUUUAAGCAACCUUCUAUAUACACCUCACAUCCAAAUAAAAAGUACUCAAGAACAUUUUUUUUGAUAAUUAAGUACUCAAGAACAUUUAAGCAAGCAAAUGAAGAUCAUAUGGUGUAAAAUACGGAUUAUUUGAAUUCUAUAUUACAGUAAGCAAUGACAAUUGUGUGAUCAAAUAGCUGACAAAGCUAAAAUACAUUUGACUAAAAUUCAAAUAAGACAAUGUCAACGAUGGGCAUUUGGUCUAGUGGUAUGAUUCUCGCUUUGGGUGCGAGAGGUCCCGAGUUCGAUUCUCGGAAUGCCCCUUAAUUUAUAAAAGUUUUUAUUUACUCUAAGAUGAUUUAACUUUUCAAAGGCUCAAACAAUGGAGAAUGUUUAUCUCACCUAGAAAAUUUUUGCACAAAAUGGUACAAGCUCCAGACAACCAAUAUCAACUUCAAACUAUUAUUACCACUGAGGGACCAACAAGAACUGGGCAUUUGGUCUAGUGGUAUGAUUCUCGCUUUGGGUGCGAGAGGUCCCGAGUUCGAUUCUCGGAAUGCCCCUUAAUUUAUAAAAAAAAUUAUUUACUCUAAGAUGAUUUUAACUUUUCAAAGGCUCAAACAAUGGAGAAUGUUUAUCUCACCUAGAAAAUUAUUGCACAGAAUGGUACAAGCUCCAGACAACCAAUAUCAACUUCAAACUAUUAUUACCACUGAGGGACCAACAAGAACUGGGCAUUUGGUCUAGUGGUAUGAUUCUCGCUUUGGGUGCGAGAGGUCCCGAGUUCGAUUCUCGGAAUGCCCCCAUCUAAUACAACUUUUUAAUUCAUUUUACUUGCAACUCUGCUCCUUCACUCUAUUUUCUAAGUGAUAGUACAUGCAAAUUAAGCAGGGUCAUUUAUGUAACUAAGAUUCAAAAAAAUAGAAUUCACACUUGGUCACAUGCUGACAAUUUAAUGCCACAGGGGAAUCAAUAUUCUGUAAGUUUAUUAAAAAAAGACCAUUUGUACAGUCCAGACUUAACUUUGUUUUGUCAAUGCCUGUACCAAAUCUUAACUAAUGCUUGACUUCAAGAGCUCUUCGUUGUUUCCAUUUUUGUAACCUGAUCUCCAGUCAACUACAAAACUCAAUCGACUGUCUUCAUAAAACAAAAAUCGCAGGUAAAGAUUCUAUUUAUUCAUGUUAAUGGACAACCAAAUGGCAUGAGCACUUGAAGCUGAAUAAGGUAAAUCUAGAUCUAUAAGCUAAAAUUUAAUACAUCAUGAAUACUUGCAAUAGUGCAGAAUGGGGGGCUUGCCUGUUCAGUUUACAGAUCUGAAACUCCAACGUUCAAAGUCUAACUCCCAAAAGAUCC
RNAcentral lists this long non-coding RNA (3315 nucleotides) under Solanum tuberosum (potato). RNAcentral's name for it is "long non-coding RNA (STUB_LNC002407)". The stretch from base 347 to 418 matches the Rfam family "tRNA". Lineage: Eukaryota; Viridiplantae; Streptophyta; Magnoliopsida; Solanales; Solanaceae. The record is from RNAcentral.